UCCAAUGUGGUGUAGUGGUUAACAUUGCUGUCUUUCAUAAAAGGCGAUAAAUGUGUACACAGCAGCCCGGGGUUCGAUUCCCCGCAUUGGAA
Molecule: non-coding RNA, 92 nt
Organism: Marasmius fiardii PR-910
Lineage: Eukaryota; Fungi; Basidiomycota; Agaricomycetes; Agaricales; Marasmiaceae
Source: the annotation of a GenBank genome assembly